AAGUCGUAACAAGGUCUCCGUAGGUGAACCUGCGGAGGGAUCAUUACCGAGUUCAUGCCCUUACGGGUAGACCUCCCACCCUAUGUUAUAUUACCUUUGUUGCUUUGGCGGGCCGCCCGGCUUCGGCCAGGCUACCGGCUCCAGCUGGUAAGCGCUCGCCAGAGGACCCUCAACUCUGAAUAUCAGUGUCGUCUGAGUACUAUAAAAUAGUUAAAACUUUCAACAACGGAUCUCUUGGUUCUGGCAUCGAUGAAGAACGCAGCGAAAUGCGAUAAGUAAUGUGAAUUGCAGAAUUCAGUGAAUCAUCGAAUCUUUGAACGCACAUUGCGCCCCUUGGUAUUCCGAGGGGCAUGCCUGUUCGAGCGUCAUUACGACCCUCAAGCACUGCUUGGUAUUGGGCUCCGCUGGCUCCAGCGGGCCUUAAAAUCAGUGGCGGCGCCGUUUGGGCUCUGAGCGUAGUAAAUAUCCUCGCUAUAGAGACCAGGCGGUUCUUGUCAUCAACCCCCAACUUUCUAAGUUUGACCUCGGAUCAGGUAGGGAUACCCGCUGAACUUAAGCAUAUCAAUAAGCGGAGG
RNAcentral lists this ribosomal RNA (575 nucleotides) under uncultured fungus. Its description in RNAcentral is "eukaryotic LSU rRNA". The stretch from base 215 to 368 matches the Rfam family "5.8S ribosomal RNA". Lineage: Eukaryota; Fungi. The record is from RNAcentral.